CUGUCCAACGUUAAUCGGGGCAGGGUGAGUCGGCCCCUAAGGCGAGGCUGAGAAGCGUAGUCGAUGGGAAAUGGGUUAAUAUUCCCAUACUUGGAUAAACUGCGAUGUGGGGACGGAGCAGGUUAGGUUAGCGUACGGAUGGAAGAGUACGUUUAAGUUGGUAGGUGGGGUGUUUAGGCAAAUCCGGGCACCUGAUAACACUGAGAGAUGAUGACGAAGCUCUACGGAGCUGAAGUAACUGAUACCCAACUUCCAGGAAAAGCCACUAAGCGAGAGGUUUAUCUAAACCGUACUGGAAACCGACACAGGUGGUCAGGUAGAGAAUACUAAGGCGCUUGAGAGAACUCGGGUGAAGGAACUAGGCAAAAUAGCACCGUAACUUCGGGAGAAGGUGCGCUGGCGUAGUGUGAAGUUCUUCGCGAAUGGAGCAUGAACCAGUCGAAGCGACGAGCUGGCUGCAACUGUUUAAUAAAAACACAGCACUCUGCAAACACGAAAGUGGACGUAUAGGGUGUGAUGCCUGCCCGGUGCUGGAAGGUUAAUUGAUGGUGUYAUCGAAAGAGAAGCACCUGAUCGAAGCCCCAGUAAACGGCGGCCGUAACUAUAACGGUCCUAAGGUAGCGAAAUUCCUUGUCGGGUAAGUUCCGACCUGCACGAAUGGCAUAAUGAUGGCCAGGCUGUCUCCACCCGAGACUCAGUGAAAUUGAAAUCGCCGUGAAGAUGCGGUGUACCCGCGGCUAGACGGAAAGACCCCGUGAACCUUUACUAUAGCUUGACACUGAACCUUGAAUUUUAAUGUGUAGGAUAGGUGGGAGACUAAGAAGCGGUAACGCCAGUUAUCGUGGAGUCGGUGUUGAAAUACCACCCUUUAACGUUUGAUGUUCUAACGAGGCGCCUGGAACGGGUGUUCGGACAGUGUCUGGUGGGUAGUUUGACUGGGGCGGUCUCCUCCCAAAGCGUAACGGAGGAGCACGAAGGUUGGCUAAUGACGGUCGGACAUCGUCAGGUUAGUGCAAUGGUAGAAGCCAGCUUAACUGCGAGACGGACAAGUCGAGCAGGUACGAAAGUAGGUCAUAGUGAUCCGGUGGUUCUGAAUGGAAGGGCCAUCGCUCAACGGAUAAAAGGUACUCCGGGGAUAACAGGCUGAUACCGCCCAAGAGUUCAUAUCGACGGCGGUGUUUGGCACCUCGAUGUCGGCUCAUCACAUCCUGGGGCUGAAGUAGGUCCCAAGGGUAUGGCUGUUCGCCAUUUAAAGUGGUACGCGAGCUGGGUUUAGAACGUCGUGAGACAGUUCGGUCCCUAUCUGCCGUGGGCGUUGGAGGAUUGAGGGGGGUUGCUCCUAGUACGAGAGGACCGGAGUGAACGCACCGCUGGUGUUCCAGUUGUUUCGCCAGAAGCAUUGCUGGGUAGCUAAGUGCGGAAGAGAUAAGUGCUGAAAGCAUCUAAGCACGAAACUUGCCCCGAGAUGAGUUCUCCCUGACAGAGAGUCAGUAAGGGUUGUUGAAGACGACGACGUAGAUAGGUGGGGUGUGUAAGCGGUGUGAGCCGUUGAGCUAACCCAUACUAAUUGCCCGAGAGGCUUAACUAUACAACGCUGAAGGGUUUU
RNAcentral lists this ribosomal RNA (1606 nucleotides) under Gallibacterium anatis. RNAcentral's name for it is "bacterial LSU rRNA". It matches the Rfam family "Bacterial large subunit ribosomal RNA", at positions 1356 to 2925 of the family's 2925-position model. Lineage: Bacteria; Pseudomonadati; Pseudomonadota; Gammaproteobacteria; Pasteurellales; Pasteurellaceae. The record is from RNAcentral.